RNAcentral lists this non-coding RNA (238 nucleotides) under Ruminiclostridium hungatei. RNAcentral's name for it is "Clostridium hungatei T-box sequence". It matches the Rfam family "T-box leader". Rfam says of the family: Uncharged tRNA acts as the effector for transcription antitermination of genes in the T-box leader family. The record is from RNAcentral. Lineage: Bacteria; Bacillati; Bacillota; Clostridia; Eubacteriales; Oscillospiraceae.
AAAAAGGUCAUGAUCAAGAACCAGUAGCAGUGUGCAAUCCUUUAGAGAGCCUUCGGUUGGUGAAAGAAGGCGGAUAAAAAUGCUGUGAAUUCAUCUUGGGAGCUGUACACUCAAAGGCGCUGGCCCUGUAGGUGUUUUCGGGAUUCGCCCGUUAUAGUGUGGGAACAAGACAGUUUGUUCGCUGAGGUUGUGGAAACAAUGAAACAAGGUGGUACCGCGAAGCUAAUUCGCCCCUGUA